UUCGGUGUCGUAGCUAACGCGUUAAGUGUUCCGCCUGGGGAGUACGCACGCAAGUGUGAAACUCAAAGGAAUUGACGGGGGCCCGCACAAGCGGUGGAGUAUGUGGUUUAAUUCGAUGCAACGCGAAGAACCUUACCAGGGUUUGACAUCCUGCGAACCUCUUAGAAAUUUGAGGGUGCCUUCGGGAAUGCAGUGACAGGUGGUGCAUGGCUGUCGUCAGCUCGUGUCGUGAGAUGUUGGGUUAAGUCCCGCAACGAGCGCAACCCACGUUUUUAGUUGCCAGCAUUUAGUUGGGCACUCUAGAAAGACCGCCGGUGAUAAACCGGAGGAAGGUGUGGAUGACGUCAAGUCAUCAUGCCCCUUACACCCUGGGCUACACACGUACUACAAUGCUACGGACAAAGGGCAGCAAACUCGCGAGAGCUAGCAAAUCCCAUAAACCGUGGCUCAGCUCAGAUCGUAGGCUGCAACUCGCCUACGUGAAGUAGGAAUCGCUAGUAAUCGCAGGUCAGCAUACUGCGGUGAAUACGUUCCCGGGCCUUGUACACACCGCCCGUCACACCAUGGAAGUUGGCCAUGCCCGAAGUCGUUACUCCAACCCUUGUGGAGGAGGACGCCGAAGGUGGGGCUAAUGACUGGGGUGAAGUCGUAACAAGGUAACCGUAA
Molecule: ribosomal RNA, 666 nt
Filed under: uncultured bacterium
Lineage: Bacteria
Description: bacterial SSU rRNA
Rfam family: Bacterial small subunit ribosomal RNA
Source: RNAcentral